GGUGACAUGGCCAAACGGUAAGGCAAGGGUCUGCAAAACCCUCAUUCCCGGUUCGAUUCCGGGUGUCACCUCCA
This 74-nucleotide transfer RNA is filed under the name Oscillospiraceae bacterium. Its description in RNAcentral is "tRNA-Cys". It matches the Rfam family "tRNA". From Rfam's summary of the family: Transfer RNA (tRNA) molecules are approximately 80 nucleotides in length. Lineage: Bacteria; Bacillati; Bacillota; Clostridia; Eubacteriales; Oscillospiraceae. The record is from RNAcentral.